CUUCUAGCCUGAUCCUUGGUGGUGCCUUCUCGACGUCUCGGAGGAUCGUGCCUUCCUGGUCCUUGGCCUAUAAAUAUGGGGAUCCCCGUGCUCCUUGCCAUCCAGAACCUCUCUACACCGAUGCCCAGCCCCAUAAGGCUGGCAUAGUAGAAACUCUUGGGAGCCUGUCGCCGCCGAGACCAGCCCCGUCAGGGCAACAUUGUAGAAACUGGGCGCCUGCACACAGCGGAGUAGGGAAAACAGUGACCACGGGCUAGAAACUCGGCGCCUGCAUGUUGUGGAGUACUGGGAGUAGGGCAAAUUGCGACUACCGGCAUGGCAUCGACACUGCUGAGCAUACGGCACCUGACACCCGAGUCGGCGUAUCGGCUCGCGAGACAGUAGCUCAACAUACCGCCAAGACGAGGGACAUGGGACCCCAGCCCAAGCCGAGCAUCCUAGGCGCUCCGAUGAAUAGGUCGCGCUUGCGGUGGACGCAGCCGAUGCGGACGCCCUGCACUGGUGUGCUGUCCCCGAAGAUGAGCAUCUCCAAAGCAAGCACACCCCUGGGUGUACGAUUCGUCGACGUACGACACCUGGUCCCGGUAGGGCCGGAGAUGGCGUAGCCGGAGGAUCCGCUAGGCAGCGUCCGGCAAAAACCGGAGCCACACAGCAACACGGUGAAGGACGCCAGCGUGGACGGGUCACUCUGCCGCGGGUCGUCUCUUGCCGUAAGGUUGAGCAUGAUGUGUCGCCUUGCUAUCUCUUAAGCACUGUGUUGGAUUUCCCCGAAAAGGAGAAGAUGAUGCAACAAAGUAGCGUAAGUAUUUCCCUCGGUUUUUGAGAACCAAGGUAUCAAUCCAGUAGGAGACCACGCACAAGUCCCUCGUACCUGCACAAAACGAUAGCUACUCGCAACCAACGUUAUUAGGAGUUGUCAAUCCCUUCACGGUCACUUACGAGAGUGAGAUCUGAUAGAGAUGAUAAAUAAUUUUUUUGGUAUUUUUGAUAUAAAGAUGCAAAGUAAAAAGUAAAAAGCAAAGUAAAAAAACAAAGCAAGUAAUAAAGCGAUAGAGAUUGAUAUGAUGAGAAUAGACCCGGGGGCCAUAGGUUUCACUAGUGGCUUCUCUCAAGAGCAUAGAUAUUCUACGGUGAGUGAACAAAUUACUGUUGAGCAAUUGACAGAAUUGAGCAUAAUUAUGAGAAUAUCUAGGCAAUGAUCAUGUAUAUAGGCAUCACGUCCAAGACAAGUAAAUCGAAACGAUUCUCCAUCUACUAUUAUUACUCCACUCAUCGACCGCUAUCCAGCAUGCAUCUAGAGUAUUAAGUUAAAAACAGAAUAACGCCUUAAGCAAGAUGACAUGAUGUAGAGGAUAAAUUCAUGCAAUAUGAUAAAAAACCCAUCUUGUUAUCCUCGAUGGCAACAAUACAAUACAUGACUUGCAGCCCUUUCUGUCACUGGGUAAGGACACCGCAAGAUCGAACCCAAAGCUAAGCAUUUCUCCCAUUGCAAGAACUACCAAUAUAGUUGGCCAAACCAACAGGAUAAUUCGAAGAGACUUGCAAAGAUAACUCAAUCAUACAUAAAAGAAUUCAGAGAAGAAUCAAAUAUUUUCCAUAGAUAAUACUAGAUCAUAAACCAACAAUUCGUCGGUUUCAACAAACACACCGCAAAAAGAAGAUUACAUCGAAUAGAUCUCCACAAGAGAGGGGGAGAACAUUGUAUUGAGAUCCAAAAAGAGAGAAGAAGCCAUCUAGCUACUAGCUAUGGACCCGAAGGUCUGAAGUAAACUACUCACACUUCAUCAGAGGGGCUAUGGUGUUGAUGUAGAAGCCCUCCGUGGUGGAUGCCUCCUCCGACGGAGCUUCGGAACAGGCCUCAAGAUGGGAUCUCGUGGAUACAGAAGGUUGCGGCGGUGGAAUUAGGUUUUUGGCUCCUGGUCUGAUCGUUCGGAGAUACGUAGGUAUAUAUAGGAGGAAGGAGUACGUCCGUGGAGCAACAGGGGGCCCACGAGGUAGGGGGGCGCACCCUCCACCCUCGUGACCGCCUCUGGCACUUCUUGGAGUAGGGGUCCAAGUCUCCUGGAUCACGUUCGGUGAGAAAAUCACGUUCCCAAAGGUUUUAUUCCAUUUGGACUCCGUUUGAUAUUCCAUUUCUUCGAAACACUGAAAUAGGCAAAAAACAACAAUUCUGGGCUGGGCCUCCGGUUAAUAGGUUAGUCCAAAAAAUAAUAUAAAAGUGGAAAAUAAAGCUCAAUAUAGUCCAAAACAGUAGAUAAAGUAGCAUGGAGCAAUAAAAAAUUAUAAAUACGUUGGAGACGUAUCAGGCAUCCCCAAGCUUAAUUCCUGCUCGUCCUCGAGUAGGUAAAUGAUAAAAAAAAGAAUUUUUGAUGCGGAGAUACUUUGGCAUAAUUUCAAUGUAAAUCUUCUUAAUUGUGAUAUGAAUAUUCAGAUCCGAAAGAUUCAAGACAAAAGUUCAUAUUGACAUAAAAAUUAAUAAUACUUCAAGCAUACUAAUCAAAGCAAUCAUGUCUUCUUAAAAUAACAUGGCCAAAGAAAGUUAUCCCUACAAAAUCAUAUAGUCUGGCUAUGCUCCAUCUUCCCCACAUAAAAUAUUUAAAUCAUGCACAACCCCGAUGACAAGCCAAGCAAUUGUUUCGUACUUAUGACAUUCUCAAAACUUUUUCAAUCUUCACACAAUACAUGAGCGUGAGUCAUGGAUAUAGCACUAUGUGGAAUAGAAUGGUGGUUGUGGAGAAGAAAAAAAGAGGGAAGAUAGUCUCACAUCAACUAGGCGUAUCAACGGGCUAUGGAGAUGCCCAUCAAUAGAUAUCAAUGUGAGUGAGUAGGGAUUGCCAUGCAACGGAUGCACUAGAGCUAUAAGUAUAUGAAAGCUCCACAAAAAAACUAAGUGGGUGUGCAUCCAACUUGCUUGCUCACGAAGACCUAGGGCAUUUUGAGGAAGUCCAUCAUUGGAAUAUACAAGCCAAGUUCUAUAAUGAAAAAUUCCCACUAGUAUAUGAAAGUGACAAAAUGAGAGACUCUCUAUCAUGAAGAUCUUGAUGCUACUUUGAAGCACAAGUGUGGUAAAAGGAUAGUAGCAUCGUCCCUUCUCUCUUUUUCUCUUUUUUUUGUUUGGGCCUUUCUUUUUUUUUUGGCCCCCUUUUUUUUAUUUUUCGUCCAGAGUCUCAUCCCGACUUAUGGGGAAUCAUAGUCUCCAUCAUCCUUUCCUCACUUGGGAUAAUGCUCUAAUAAUGAUGAUUAUCACACUUUUAUUUUUCUUACAACUCAAUAAUUACAACUCGAUACUUAGAACAAAGUAUGACUCUAUAUGAAUGCCUCCGGUGGUGUACUGGGAUAUGCAAUGAAUCAUGAGUGACAUGUAUGAAAGAAUUAUGAACGGUGGCCAUGCCAUAAAUACGAUGUCAACUACAUGAUCAUGCUAGCAAUAUGACAAUGAUGGAGCGUGUCAUAAUAAACGGAACGGUGGAAAGUUACAUGGCAAUAUAUCUCGGAAUGGCUAUGAAAAUGCCAUGAUAGGUAGGUAUGGUGGCUGUUUUGAGGAAGGUAUACGGUGGGUGUAUGAUACCGGCGAAAAGUGCGCGGUAUUAGAGAGGCUAGCAAAGGUGGAAGGAUGGGAAAAAGUGCGUAUAAUCCAUGGACUCAACAUUAGUCAUAAAGAACUCAUAUACUUGUUGCAAAAAUCUAGAAGUUAUCAAAGCAAAGUAUUACGCGCAUGCUCCUAGGGGGAUAGAUUGGUAGGAAAAGACCAUUGCUCGUCCCUGACCGCCACUCAUAAGAAAGACAAUCAAUAAAUAAAUCAUGCUCUGAGUUCAUCACAUAACGGUUCACCAUACGUGCAUGCUACGAGAAUCACAAACUUUAACACAAGUAUUCUUUGAAUUCACAACUACUUUAACUAGCAUGACUCUAAUAUCACCAUCUUCAUAUCUCAAAACAAUUAUCAAGCAUCAAACUUAUCUUAGUAUUCAACACACUCAAAAGAAAGUUUCACAUAUCUUGAACACCAAAUAUAUUAACAUUAAGCGAAUUACCAUGCUAUUAACGACUCUCAAAAUAAUCUAAGUGAAGCAUGAGAGAUCAAUAGUUUCUUUAAAACAAAUCCAUCACCGUGCUCUAAAAGAUAUAAAUGAAGCACUAGAGCAAAAAUUAUCACGCUCAAAAGAUAUAAGUGAAGCACUAUGAGCAAAACUAUCAAGCUCAAAAGAUAUAAGUGAAGCACAUAGAGUAUUCUAACAAAUUCCAAUUCAUGUAUGACUCUCUCAAAAGGUGUGUAUAGCAAGGAUGAUUGUGGUAAACUAACAAGCAAAGACGCAAAUAAUACAAGACGCUCCAAGCAAAACACAUAUCAUGUGGUGAAUAAAAAUAUAGCUCCAAGUAAAUUACCGAUGAAAGUGGACGAAAGAGGGGAUGCCUUCCGGGGCAUCCCCAAGCUUUGACUUUUUGGUGUCCUUGGAUUAUCUUGGGGGUGCCAUGGGCAUCCCCAAGCUUAGGCUCUUGCCACUCCUUGUUUCAUAAUCCAUCAAAAGAAUUCACCCAAAACUUGAAAACUUCACAACACAAAACUCAACAGAAAUCUCAUGAGCUCCGUUAGAGAAAGAAAACAAAGAACUACUUAAGAUAUUGUAAUGAACUCAUUCUUUAUUUAUAUUGGUGUUAAACCUACUGUAUUCCAACUUCUCUAUGGAUUAUAAACUAUUUUACUAGCCAUAGAUUCAUCAAAAUAAGCAAACAACACACGUAAAACAAAAUCCGUCAAAAACAGAACAGUCUGUAGCAAUCUGUAACUAACGCAAACUUCUAGAACUCUAAAAAUUCUACCAAAAUAGGAAGUCCUGUAAAAUUUGUUUAUUGAACAGCAGAAAAAAGAUUUAAUGCAAAAGCACGUUCCUGUGAUUUAACAAAAUUAUAUUCCUGCGUGCAAAGUUUCUGUUUUUCAGCAGAAUCAACUAUCAUCGUAGGUUAUCCUAUAGGUUCUACUUGGCACAAACACUAAUUAAAAGAUAAAACCACAUCCAAACAGAGGCUAGAUGGAUUAUUUAUUCCUAAACAGAAGCAAAAACAAAAAACAAAAAAAAUAAAAUUGGGUUGCCUCCCAACAAGCGCUAUCGUUUAACACCCCUAGCUAGGCAUAAAAGCAAGGAUAGAUCUAGGUAUUGCCAUCUUCGGUAGGCAAUCCAUAAGUGGCUCUCAUGAUAGAUUUAUAUGGUAAUUUUAUUUUCUUUCUAGGAAAGUGUUACAUGCCCUUCUUUAAUGGAAAUUGGAAUCGAAUAUUCCCUUCCUUCAUAUCAAUAAUUGCACCAAUCGUUCUAAGGAAAGGUCUACCAAGAAUAAUAUGACAUGAAGGAUUGCAAUCUAUAUCAAGAACGAUAAAAUCUACGGGCACAUAAUUCUUAUUUGCAACAAUAAGAACAUCAUUAAUUCUUCCCAUAGGCUUUUUAAUAGUAGAAUCCGCAAGAUGCAAGUUUAGAGAGCAAUCAUCAAAAUCACGGAAAUCUAGCAAAUCACACAAAGCUUUGGGAAUAGUAGAGACACUACCACCCAAAUCACACAAAGCAUGAAACUCAUAAUCUUUAAUUUUAAUUUUAAUAGUAGGUUCCCACUCAUCAUAGAGUUUUCUAGGGAUAGAAACUUUCAACUCAAGUUUUUCUUCAUAAGAUUGCAUCAAGGCAUUAACAAUGUGUUCGAUAAAGGCCUUAUUUUAACUAUAAGCAUGAGGAGAAUCUAGCACGGAUUGCAACAAGGAAAUACAACCAAUCAAAGAGCAAUUUUCAUAAUUAAAUUCCUUGAGAUCCAAAAUAGUGGGUUUAGCAACAUCUAGGUCUAGAAACUCUGAAUUCUUAGAACGCCUUCUAGGUAAAGGAAGAUCACAUUCAGUUUCAUCAAGAUUCAUAUUGCAAAACAAAGAUUUGAUAGGGGACACAUCAAUAACUUUUAGAUCUUCAUCUUGAUUUUCAUAGGAAUUGGAAGAGCACGCUUUAAUAAAGGCAUCUUUGAAAGCACGCAUCCUAGCGGUUCUUUCCUUGCACUCAUCAAUGGAAAUUCUCAUGGCUUUGAGAGACUCAUUGAUAUCAUGCUUAGGAGGAAUAGAUCUAAGCUUUAAAGAAUCAAUUUCAAGAGAAAUUUUAUCAACGUUCCUAGCCAAAUCAUCAACUUUAAGCAAUUUCUCUUCAAGCAAAGCAUUAAAAUUCUUUUGUGAAUUCAUAAACUCUUUAACACUACUCUCAAAUUCAGAGGGCAUCUUAUUAAAAUUUCCAUAAGAGUUGUUGUAGGAGUUUCCAUAAUUAUUAGAAGGAUUACUAGGAUAAGACCUAGGAUUAAAAUUCCCUUUAUAAGCGUUGUUUUCAAAACUAUUCCUACCAACAAAAUUCACAUCCAUAGAUUCAUUAUUAUUAUCAAGCAAGGUAGACAAAGGCAUUUCAUUGGGAUCAAGAGGAGUAUUUUUAGGAGCAAACAUCUUCAUAAGUUCAUCCAUCUUUUCACUCAAAACAUUGAUUUCUUCUAUAGCAUGCACUUUUUUACUAGAAGAUCUUUUGGUCUGCCAUUGAGAAUAAUUAGCCAUAAUAUUAUCAAGCAAUUUGAUAGCAUCUCCUAACAUAAUUUCCAUAAACGUGCCUCCCGCGGCCGAAUCUAAAAGAUUUCUAGAAGCAAAAUUCAAUCCGGCAUAAAAAAUUUGUAUGAUCAUCCAUAAAUUCAAACCAUGAGUAGGGCAAUUGCGAAGCAUAAAUUUCAUUCUUUCCCAAGAUUGGGCAACAUGCUCAUGAUCAAGUUGUUUAAAAUUCAUGAUAUCGUUCCUAAGAGUGAUGAUCUUAGCGGGAGGAAAAUACUUAGAGAUAAAAGCAUCUUUGCACUUGUUCCAAGAAUCAAUACUAUUUUUAGGCAAAGACGAAAACCAAACUUUAGCACGAUCUCUAAGUGAAAACGGAAAUAACUUCAACUUGACAAUAUUUUUAUCUGUAUCUUUCUUCUUUUGCAUAUUACACAAAUCAACAAAAUUGUUUAGAUGAGUAGCGGCAUCUUCACUAGGAAGGCCGGUGAAUUGAUCUUUCAUAACAAGAUUCAGCAAAGCGGUAUUGAUUUCACAAGACUCAUCAUUAUUAAGAGGAGCAAUCGGAGUACUAAGGAAAUCAUUAUUAUUGGUAUUCGAUAAAUCACACAAUUUGGUAUUAUCUUGCGCCAUGGCAACAAGUAAUCCAACACACAAGCAAACAGAAAGGCAACGGGAAAAAGGCAAACGGGAAAGAGAGGAGGAGAUUGGGAAAGAGAGGGCGAAUAAAACGGCAAGGGUGAAGUGGGGGAGAGGAAAACAAGAGGCAAAUGGCAAAUAAUGUAAUGCGAGAGAUAGGGAUUGUGAUGGGUACUUGGUAUUGUUGACUUGCUUGUGUGAGCCUCCCCGACAAUGGUGCCAGAAAUUCUUCUUGCUACCUCUUGAGCACUGCAUUGGAUUUCCCCGAAGAGGAGAGGAUGAUGCAGCAAAGUAGCGU
Molecule: long non-coding RNA, 7484 nt
Filed under: Triticum aestivum (bread wheat)
Lineage: Eukaryota; Viridiplantae; Streptophyta; Magnoliopsida; Poales; Poaceae
Description: long non-coding RNA (TAES_LNC007274)
Source: RNAcentral